Long non-coding RNA from Ostrinia nubilalis (European corn borer), 218 nucleotides. RefSeq lists it as uncharacterized. The transcript has 3 exons. The record is from RefSeq and is a predicted model, not a curated record. Lineage: Eukaryota; Metazoa; Arthropoda; Insecta; Lepidoptera; Crambidae.
UACGAUUCUGAGGACGAGCAUGCUAGCAAACGUACAAAGACACUAAAGAAGCCCCCACCGUCUAAGCGCAAGUCUGCUGCAGGCCUUGAAAAAGAUCUCUUCGAUUCGGAAGACGAACAAGUUCAUAAGCGAGUCGGCAAAGAGACGAAGAGACCUGCAGCGUUGAAGCGCAAACGAGCUCGGGCUGACGGUUGGGAGCUGGAGCUGGACGACGAGGA